GGCCUCCACUAGAAGCAAACAGGCUGUCUCCACGGCCCCUCCCUCCUUCCUCCUGGCCUCAGGGCCGCUGCGCGGGGGACUCCAGCAAUCCCAGGUGCUGCGCAGGGUGGGCUGGUGUCCCACUGGGGCUGUGUCCUGUGAGUCCCUGUGUCUCCGCCCUGGGGUGGCAUGAGCCGCUGUAGCUGUUGGGACACAGGCGGGACAUGGGGCACACCUACACUGCAGCAGGCCCCGGCCCGAGAAUCUGCUCUGGGGCCUCUUCCUUGUUGGGCCUUCAGGGCUUUGGCCACCAGAGCGCUACAGGCAGGGCACCCUGGCUCUCGGGGGCACUGGGUUUGAGGGUAGGUGACGGCCACUCCCUGGAUCGACCAACUGAGCCAGAUGGGGAGCCAGGGUGGGGAGCCAAGGGAAGCACCACCCCGGGCUUCUGGGCUGUCAGCUGCCUCCAGGCCCCUGGUGCUCCCCACCUGCUGCACAGCACCCAGAGGAGCUCCUAGGGCAGAGCAGGCGGCCACAGGCCACUGCCCGGGGAAGCCUGGGAAGCAGAGGACCCUGAAUCCUCGUCCCACCCCCAAACACCAUCACAACCAGAGGCUGGGUCUCUUCCUCCACAGGACCCCACCCUGCAAACAGUGGACCAGGACCCCUGUCCCCAAGGGUCAGCCAGGCUGGAACUCCCUCGGAGGCUGGGGAGGUGACUUCUCCCUCCCUGACCCUGGUCUUGUGCCCCGGGGUAUUCCAGGGGCUGGCUGGUGUGUGCCUAGAGGGGUGAGCAGCGCCCCGCCCCACUGGCAAGGUUGAGACCUCUGCCUGCUCCCCAGAGUUGGGUUCCAAAAAUUAUAAGACUUAAGUGUAGAGACACAAGCACCCUGGCUCUCCCCACGGAAAUAAGGCCCCAAGAAGGAGGUCAGGACCACAUGGCUUGGCGGGGCCCCUGGGCAGCACGACAGCCACAGGCCAGCUGGGUGCAGGGCCUCCCCCAGGGAAGAAGGCCCUUUCCAAGGCUCCCCAGUGGCUGGGAGAAAGGGGUCCUCCCCAGGGCUCACUGCCCCCUUCCUGGCACAGGGCAGAAAAAGGAGCUGGAUUUUGACGUGAGGGAGAAAUUUAUCAACUUUGCCAGGACCCUGGGCAUCUGGCAGGGUCACAUUGUCUUCCUGCCCACGGCCUGUACUGGGAGGUUUGUGUGGACCAAGGAGGGGCCCCGGGCUACAGGGUGCAGGAAUGUGGUCCCAAGAACCCUAAGGGCAAAGAAUGGGGGUCCAGAUGCUGGACCUCAGAUGCACCCAGCCCUCGCGCCCCCACAAGCCAGAGAAAGGGGCUGCAGGAGAUCCUCAGGGCAGGGCUGGGUGCUGGGCUCAGGAAGAGAAUCUAG
This 1372-nucleotide long non-coding RNA is filed under the name Marmota monax (woodchuck). Lineage: Eukaryota; Metazoa; Chordata; Mammalia; Rodentia; Sciuridae. The record is from RNAcentral.